AUUGAACGCUGGCGGCAGGCCUAACACAUGCAAGUCGAGCGGCAGCGGGAAAGUAGCUUGCUACUUUUGCCGGCGAGCGGCGGACGGGUGAGUAAUGCCUGGGGAUCUGCCCAGUCGAGGGGGAUAACCACUGGAAACGGUAGCUAAUACCGCAUACGCCCUACGGGGGAAAGCAGGGGACCUUCGGGCCUUGCGCGAUUGGAUGAACCCAGGUGGGAUUAGCUAGUUGGUGAGGUAACGGCUCACCAAGGGGACGAUCCCUAGCUGGUCUGAGAGGAGGAUCAGCCACACUGGAACUGAGACACGGUCCAGAUUCCUACGGGAGGCAGCAGUGGGGAAUAUUGCACAAUGGGGGAAACCCUGAUGCAGCCAUGCCGCGUGUGUGAAGAAGGCCUUCGGGUUGUAAAGCACUUUCAGCGAGGAGGAAAGGUCAGUAGCUAAUAUCUGCUGGCUGUGACGUUACUCGCAGAAGAAGCACCGGCUAACUCCGUGCCAGCCGCCGCCGUAA
Molecule: ribosomal RNA, 508 nt
Filed under: uncultured bacterium
Lineage: Bacteria
Description: partial 16S ribosomal RNA
Rfam family: Bacterial small subunit ribosomal RNA
Source: RNAcentral